AUCUGUGGAUGUAGCUCUUCAGUCAGUUAGGAAUUCUGUAGAUUCUUCUGCCAAUGAAGCCGCGGCGGGGUCUGCUACGCCGAAGAACAAGACUUUAAAGAAAUGGCCACUGGACAAGCUUCCAGAAUUUUCACACGUGGUGC
Ornithodoros turicata is the source of this 143-nucleotide long non-coding RNA. RefSeq lists it as uncharacterized. The record is from RefSeq and is a predicted model, not a curated record. The transcript is spliced from 3 exons. Lineage: Eukaryota; Metazoa; Arthropoda; Arachnida; Ixodida; Argasidae.